GGUUGUGGCUUAAUGGUAGAGCACUCGCCUCGCACGCAUGAGGCACUGGGUUUGAUCCUCAGCACCA
Molecule: transfer RNA, 67 nt
Filed under: Marmota monax (woodchuck)
Lineage: Eukaryota; Metazoa; Chordata; Mammalia; Rodentia; Sciuridae
Description: tRNA.Ala
Rfam family: tRNA
About the family: Transfer RNA (tRNA) molecules are approximately 80 nucleotides in length. Their secondary structure includes four short double-helical elements and three loops (D, anti-codon, and T loops).
Source: RNAcentral